Molecule: transfer RNA, 64 nt
Filed under: Thalassaphorura encarpata
Lineage: Eukaryota; Metazoa; Arthropoda; Collembola; Poduromorpha; Onychiuridae
Description: tRNA-Glu
Source: RNAcentral
UCCUUAAUAGUUUACUUAAAACAUUAUAUUUUCAUUAUAAAAAUAAUCAUAAGAUUUUUUGGUU